AUCACAUAACGCUUAAUCAUUAUGUGAUCACUAUGACCAUGCCACCUCCAGCAAGCAAACAGUACGGUUAAGUUUGAGUACAUUUAUUUUUCAGGCCGUCGUGUCUGGUGAGAAUCAGCCCCACUUUGAAUUUACACAGAAGUGGGUUCCAGUAUUGUUUGAUGACCAACAGCUGGACAGGAUAGUGAAGUACCUGACAGGCUUCCUUCAUAACUGUGAAAAAAUCUCAGAUGAAGUCUCCACCAUGCUGUCCUAUGACAAGCUUAAAUACAUCCUUGUUGUGAUGUUGCCAGAGGUGACAGUAAAGGCCUUGGAAGAAAUAAGGAACAUGACAACAAAAGACGCAGUGGCAGAGGUUGAUCAUGGACCAAUGGAUGAGAGGUUAGUGAAACAUUUAAAUGUCCUUUAA
Long non-coding RNA from Melanotaenia boesemani (Boeseman's rainbowfish), 409 nucleotides. RefSeq lists it as uncharacterized. The record is from RefSeq and is a predicted model, not a curated record. The transcript is spliced from 2 exons. NCBI's taxonomy places the organism in Eukaryota, Metazoa, Chordata, Actinopteri, Atheriniformes, Melanotaeniidae.